Molecule: transfer RNA, 90 nt
Filed under: Cupriavidus plantarum
Lineage: Bacteria; Pseudomonadati; Pseudomonadota; Betaproteobacteria; Burkholderiales; Burkholderiaceae
Description: tRNA-Ala
Source: RNAcentral
UGGCGUAAUAGGUGGGCGACUCCACGGCGAUCGCAUCGCCGGGCCUGGCCACCGCCUGCAGGCAGAGAUUGAUCGCCUCGGUCGCGCCGA